AAAUCCAUAAACAAUAAACACCACAUCAGAAAAGGAAAGAAAAUGAGCAUUUGCGUGAAUGCAUGAAUGAAGCAGCAAAGAAGGGCGAAAUUAGAAAUGCAAAAAAUGCUACGCAUAUGCAAAAAAUGAAAGGUGAAAUUUUAGAUCAUUUUCAGUCAAAACCCAGAAGAAAAUAGGAAAACAAGUCUAUAAACAAACAAACCACAACGUUGGAAAAAAAAAAGAACCCAAAAUACAAACUGCAACUUACAUUUGCAAAUCUAACAAAAUCAGAGCUAACAAAAGAGAAAUCAGCCGCUGCAAACUCAUUAAAACCACAAAAAAGAAGAAAAAGAAAAGUAGCUCAAAAUCCAGAUACGAUCACAAAGAAACAUUUCAAUAAUCUCUUGCC
This 391-nucleotide long non-coding RNA is filed under the name Gossypium raimondii (Peruvian cotton). Its description in RNAcentral is "long non-coding RNA (GRAI_LNC005502)". Lineage: Eukaryota; Viridiplantae; Streptophyta; Magnoliopsida; Malvales; Malvaceae. The record is from RNAcentral.